RNAcentral lists this ribosomal RNA (429 nucleotides) under Chloroflexota bacterium. Its description in RNAcentral is "Chloroflexi bacterium partial 16S ribosomal RNA". It matches the Rfam family "Bacterial small subunit ribosomal RNA", at positions 355 to 776 of the family's 1533-position model. The record is from RNAcentral. Lineage: Bacteria; Bacillati; Chloroflexota.
UAGGGAAUCUUCGGCAAUGGACGAAAGUCUGACCGAGCAACGCCGCGUGAGUGAAGAAGGUUUUCGGAUCGUAAAACUCUGUUGUUAGAGAAGAACAAGGACGUUAGUAACUGAACGUCCCCUGACGGUAUCUAACCAGAAAGCCACGGCUAACUACGUGCCAGCAGCCGCGGUAAUACGUAGGUGGCAAGCGUUGUCCGGAUUUAUUGGGCGUAAAGCGAGCGCAGGCGGUUUCUUAAGUCUGAUGUGAAAGCCCCCGGCUCAACCUGGGAACUGCAUCUGAUACUGGCAAGCUUGAGUCUCGUAGAGGGGGGUAGAAUUCCAGGUGUAGCGGUGAAAUGCGUAGAGAUCUGGAGGAAUACCGGUGGCGAAGGCGGCCCCCUGGACGAAGACUGACGCUCAGGUGCGAAAGCGUGGGGAGCAAACAGG